AGGAACGCUAGGAGGAGGGAAUUCGCCUCAGCAGGGCAAACCCUAGUCAGUUGGAGUAGGACUUGAGUUAGAAAUUGCGGUCUCACCGCCUACUAGUGGGAAAAACGUAUUUCUAGAAGGCUUCCGCGCAGCCGCCAGCCGUGGGCUGGGACUACAGGUCCCUGCCGGCAGGAGUCCAGGAGCGGGGGCGGGAGAGGGCGGCGGUGGGGAGACAGGCAUGGUGGGAACUUUGGUAGUGGCCUCUCCCGUUCACGGCAGGUAGGUCUUCAUUUUAAUGUUGACGGCAGUUAGACCUUGGCACUCUGGGGAAUAGCUACAGCCAAGAGAAAGGAAACGCUUUUUCAGUGAAAGGACUUUUGCUUUUUGCAAAUCUGUCAAAACCCUGGUUAGUGAGUGCCUGAAAUUGGGAGUCCGUCCUCAUACAUAACGCGCAUUUGGUGGGGGCUUGCUGAAUUGAAGGAAAUUUGUCGUCUUGCCUUCAGAUUCGUGGCACCUCACAACUGAAUAACAGACUUUGAAUAUCUGUCCUAGUCUAAUUCAACAUUUUACAAAGAAAGUGAUUUGCCCAAGGUCUCCCAGAAUAUUCUUAGCAGAGCCCAAACUAGAACUCAAAUCCUUUUGCUUUCACAGCAACACCGAAUUGCCUCUCACUAAGGAACGUAAACGUGAUACUGUGACAGAAGUGAAGGAUUUAAUCCGUGGACUUCUUUUGGUCAUUUAUACCCACAAACAACGAUUUUUACGAAUUAAAUUGGUCAGGCAGUUUGGUUAAAAUAAGAAAUAUUAGAAAAAUUAGGCCCCAUUUCCCAGAUGAAUGUUGAAAAGCAGCGUGGAAUUUAAUGAUAAACUCCUUCAAGAAAACAGAAAUAACAACUUACAGAUGUGCCCUUCCACAUCUCUUCCUAUGCAUUUCUAUACAGAGACGACCAUUCAGCUUACUGUGGAGGAAGAAUGGUCAGGCUACCUGGAAAGGGUGAAAAGCAGUGCAAAAUUCAGAGACUUACUGAAUGAGGAGGCUGAGGAAGAGGGAAGAGUCAUGAUUCCCAGGUUCCACUGGAUGAAUGAUGGUGCCAUUUACCCCAAAUGGAGAAAAUAAGUGUUACCCUAUCCAUUAUAUAAAGUUAUUAAAUUCCCUGGGAAGUAUUGUGGAGAGCUUGCUAAGAGUUCACUUAAUGGAUAUCAGGAAUACAGAGAUGAAAUUCACCAGCAGACUUUUCAGAAAAAGUGUCUUAAGU
This is a long non-coding RNA of Camelus dromedarius (Arabian camel), 1235 nucleotides long. RefSeq lists it as uncharacterized. The transcript is spliced from 3 exons. Lineage: Eukaryota; Metazoa; Chordata; Mammalia; Artiodactyla; Camelidae. The record is from RefSeq and is a predicted model, not a curated record.